RNAcentral lists this non-coding RNA (106 nucleotides) under Stecheria intestinalis. RNAcentral's name for it is "FMN riboswitch (RFN element)". It matches the Rfam family "FMN riboswitch aptamer (RFN element)", at positions 8 to 131 of the family's 138-position model. Rfam says of the family: The RFN element is a highly conserved domain that is found frequently in the 5'-untranslated regions of prokaryotic mRNAs that encode for flavin mononucleotide (FMN) biosynthesis and transport proteins. This element is a metabolite-dependent riboswitch that directly binds FMN in the absence of proteins. The record is from RNAcentral. Lineage: Bacteria; Bacillati; Bacillota; Erysipelotrichia; Erysipelotrichales; Erysipelotrichaceae. RNAcentral also lists the same sequence under 1 other name.
CUCAGGGCAGGGUGAAAUUCCUGACCGGCGGUAAACCCCGCGAAACUGCAUGGCAGUCAGAGCUGGUGAAAUUCCAGCGGCGACAGUAAAGUCUGGAUGGAAGAGU